This 271-nucleotide long non-coding RNA is filed under the name Carica papaya (papaya). RNAcentral's name for it is "long non-coding RNA (CPAP_LNC005656)". Lineage: Eukaryota; Viridiplantae; Streptophyta; Magnoliopsida; Brassicales; Caricaceae. The record is from RNAcentral.
UGGGGGUGUUCAGAAUCAAAUUCUGAGAUGAUAGGAGAAUUUUUACCGUUUUAGGCGGUCAGAGGUGGCUCCGACAUGGCUGCAGGUGGCUGUCGGCUCCCUCCUCUGGCUAUUGGUUCUUCUUCUCUGGCGGCAAGCUCGUGGCUAGGGUUUGGGUUUGGUGUGAUUCGAGAUAUUUAUACCCAUCUCCCUUAAAUCUAGAUCGUUCAUCGCGUUUGAUCUCGACCGUUUGAUCACGUUUAAAGAGGAAAUAAAUCUAAAUCAUUCAUCA